This 498-nucleotide ribosomal RNA is filed under the name uncultured bacterium. RNAcentral describes it as "partial 16S ribosomal RNA". It matches the Rfam family "Bacterial small subunit ribosomal RNA", at positions 28 to 508 of the family's 1533-position model. The record is from RNAcentral.
GAUGAACGCUGGCGGCGUGCCUAAUACAUGCAAGUCGAGCGAACGGACGAGAAGCUUGCUUCUCUGAUGUUAGCGGCGGACGGGUGAGUAACACGUGGAUAACCUACCUAUAAGACUGGGAUAACUUCGGGAAACCGGAGCUAAUACCGGAUAAUAUUUUGAACCGCAUGGUUCAAAAGUGAAAGACGGUCUUGCUGUCACUUAUAGAUGGAUCCGCGCUGCAUUAGCUAGUUGGUAAGGUAACGGCUUACCAAGGCAACGAUGCAUAGCCGACCUGAGAGGGUGAUCGGCCACACUGGAACUGAGACACGGUCCAGACUCCUACGGGAGGCAGCAGUAGGGAAUCUUCCGCAAUGGGCGAGAGCCUGACGGAGCAACGCCGCGUGAGUGAUGAAGGUCUUCGGAUCGUAAAACUCUGUUAUUAGGGAAGAACAUAUGUGUAAGUAACUGUGCACAUCUUUACGGUACCUAAGCAGAAAGCCACGGCUAACUACGUGC